AAUGAACGCUGGCGGCAUGCCUAACACAUGCAAGUCGAACGAAAACACGGGGAGCUUUCUCCCAUGACGUUGGCGGGGGACGGGUGAGUAACACAUGGAUAGCCUACCUCUAAGACUGGGGUGACAACGGGGAAAAAUAUCUACUAACGGAUAAUAUAUCGAACCGGAUGGUUCAAUAGUGAAAGACGCUUUUGGUGACAGUAAUAGCCGAACCCGGGCCGCAUUAGCUAGUGGGUAAGGUAACGGCUUACCAACGCGACGAUGCGUAGCCGACCUGAGAGGGUGAUCGGCCACACUGGAACUGAGACACGGUCCAGACUCCUACGGGAGGCAGCAGUAGGGAAUCUUCCGCAAUGGGCGAAAGCCUGACAGAGCAACACCGCGUGAGUGAUGAAGGUCUUCGGAUCGUAAAGCUCUGUUGUUAGGAAAGAACAAAAGUGUAUUUACCCAUGCCUGUAUUGACGGUACCGAAACAAUAAGCCCCGGCUAACUACGUG
Molecule: ribosomal RNA, 497 nt
Filed under: uncultured bacterium
Lineage: Bacteria
Description: partial 16S ribosomal RNA
Rfam family: Bacterial small subunit ribosomal RNA
Source: RNAcentral